RNAcentral lists this RNase P RNA (379 nucleotides) under Salmonella enterica subsp. enterica serovar Adjame. Its description in RNAcentral is "RNase P RNA component class A". It matches the Rfam family "Bacterial RNase P class A". From Rfam's summary of the family: Ribonuclease P (RNase P) is a ubiquitous endoribonuclease, found in archaea, bacteria and eukarya as well as chloroplasts and mitochondria. Its best characterised activity is the generation of mature 5'-ends of tRNAs by cleaving the 5'-leader elements of precursor-tRNAs. Cellular RNase Ps are ribonucleoproteins. The record is from RNAcentral. Lineage: Bacteria; Pseudomonadati; Pseudomonadota; Gammaproteobacteria; Enterobacterales; Enterobacteriaceae.
GAAGCUGACCAGACAGUCGCCGCUUCGUCGUCGUCCUUUCGGGGAGACGGGCGGAGGGGAGGAAAGUCCGGGCUCCAUAGGGCAGGGUGCCAGGUAACGCCUGGGUGGGGGGGAAACCCACGACCAGUGCAACAGAGAGCAAACCGCCGAUGGCCCACGUAAGUGGGAUCAGGUAAGGGUGAAAGGGUGCGGUAAGAGCGCACCGCGCGGCUGGUAACAGUCCGUGGCACGGUAAACUCCACCCGGAGCAAGGCCAAAUAGGGGUUCAUAAGGUACGGCCCGUACUGAACCCGGGUAGGCUGCUUGAGCCAGUGAGCGAUUGCUGGCCUAGAUGAAUGACUGUCCACGACAGAACCCGGCUUAUCGGUCAGUUUCACCU